Molecule: long non-coding RNA, 452 nt
Organism: Melospiza melodia melodia
Lineage: Eukaryota; Metazoa; Chordata; Aves; Passeriformes; Passerellidae
Exons: 3
Source: RefSeq, a predicted model, not a curated record
UUCAACUGGUACAUCACAAUCAAGCCAUGUUACAACAAGCACUCCUGCAACCUUCAGUUCUUCCACCAGCACAUCCGUUACAUCCAGCAAAAUACCUCCAUGCUUUUGUCAUGUGUUUGAAACUUUAUUUUCUCCUGGGGAAGUGGUAUACAACAGAACAGAUAGAGCUGGCUGUAAUUUUUAUGCACUUUGCAGCAAGGAAUGUGAGAUUGAGCCCUUCUACGGGCCAUGUCAUCUGACAACUCCCGCUCCUUCAGUCGCCUCAACUACAUCACAAGCUGCCUCACCAACCACAGCAACAACCACCACAAUUUCAGUAGAAAGAAACUGCACUGAUGUCAAUCCUGCACGAAAGCCUGGAGAGGAGUGGAUAGAAGAAUGCCAGAAAUGUGUCUGUGAUUCCCUCACUGCUACUGCACAAUGCCAGCCACUCCCAUGCCAAACAGCUCAGC